Molecule: ribosomal RNA, 239 nt
Filed under: Pezizellaceae sp.
Lineage: Eukaryota; Fungi; Ascomycota; Leotiomycetes; Helotiales; Pezizellaceae
Description: partial large subunit ribosomal RNA
Rfam family: Eukaryotic large subunit ribosomal RNA
Source: RNAcentral
ACAGCUCAAAUUUGAAAUCUGGCUCUUCUAGGGUCCGAGUUGUAAUUUGUAGAAGAUGCUUUGGGUGUGGCUCCGGUCUAAGUUCCUUGGAACAGGACGUCAUAGAGGGUGAGAAUCCCGUAUGUGACUGGCUGCCUCCGUUCAUGUGAAGCUCUUUCGACGAGUCGAGUUGUUUGGGAAUGCAGCUCAAAAUGGAUGGUAAAUUUCAUCUAAAGCUAAAUAUUGGCCAGAGACCGAUA